AGAUUGAACGCUGGCGGCAGGCCUAACACAUGCAAGUCGAGCGGUAGAGAGGUGCUUGCACCUCUUGAGAGCGGCGGACGGGUGAGUAAUGCCUAGGAAUCUGCCUAGUGGUGGGGGAUAACGUUCGGAAACGGACGCUAAUACCGCAUACGUCCUACGGGAGAAAGCGGGGGACCUUCGGGCCUCGCGCCAUUAGAUGAGCCUAGGUCGGAUUAGCUAGUUGGUGAGGUAAUGGCUCACCAAGGCGACGAUCCGUAACUGGUCUGAGAGGAUGAUCAGUCACACUGGAACUGAGACACGGUCCAGACUCCGUACGGGAGCAGCAGUGGGGAAUAGUUGGACAAUGGGGACGAAAGCCUGAAUCCAGCCAUGCCGCGUGUGUGAAGAGGUC
RNAcentral lists this ribosomal RNA (391 nucleotides) under uncultured soil bacterium. RNAcentral's name for it is "bacterial SSU rRNA". It matches the Rfam family "Bacterial small subunit ribosomal RNA", at positions 26 to 415 of the family's 1533-position model. The record is from RNAcentral.